UACGUAGGGGGCAAGCGUUGUCCGGAAUCCUUGGGCGUAAAGAGCGUGUAGGCGGCCCGGUAAGUCCGCUGUGAAAGUCCAGGGCUCAACCCUGGGAUGCCGGUGGAUACUGUCGGGCUCGAGUCCGGAAGAGGAGUGUGGAAUUCCUGGUGUAGCGGUGAAAUGCGCAGAUAUCAGGAGGAACACCAAUGGCGAAGGCAGCACUCUGGGACGUGACUGACGCUGAGACGCGAAAGCGUGGGGAGCAAACAGG
Molecule: ribosomal RNA, 253 nt
Filed under: uncultured bacterium
Lineage: Bacteria
Description: partial 16S ribosomal RNA
Rfam family: Bacterial small subunit ribosomal RNA
Source: RNAcentral